RNAcentral lists this ribosomal RNA (465 nucleotides) under Vreelandella stevensii. RNAcentral's name for it is "partial 16S ribosomal RNA". It matches the Rfam family "Bacterial small subunit ribosomal RNA", at positions 338 to 795 of the family's 1533-position model. The record is from RNAcentral. Lineage: Bacteria; Pseudomonadati; Pseudomonadota; Gammaproteobacteria; Oceanospirillales; Halomonadaceae.
CCUACGGGGGGCAGCAGUGGGGAAUAUUGGACAAUGGGGGCAACCCUGAUCCAGCCAUGCCGCGUGUGUGAAGAAGGCCCUCGGGUUGUAAAGCACUUUCAGUGAGGAAGAACGCCUGGUGGUUAAUACCCAUCAGGAAAGACAUCACUCACAGAAGAAGCACCGGCUAACUCCGUGCCAGCAGCCGCGGUAAUACGGAGGGUGCGAGCGUUAAUCGGAAUUACUGGGCGUAAAGCGCGCGUAGGUGGCUUGAUAAGCCGGUUGUGAAAGCCCCGGGCUCAACCGGGGAACGGCAUCCGGAACUGUCAAGCUAGAGUGCAGGAGAGGAAGGUAGAAUUCCCGGUGUAGCGGUGAAAUGCGUAGAGAUCGGGAGGAAUACCAGUGGCGAAGGCGGCCUUCUGGACUGACACUGACACUGAGGUGCGAAAGCGUGGGUAGCAAACAGGAUUAGAUACCCGAGUAGUC